This 1348-nucleotide ribosomal RNA is filed under the name Ctenoplusia albostriata. Its description in RNAcentral is "16S ribosomal RNA". The stretch from base 1078 to 1237 matches the Rfam family "Eukaryotic large subunit ribosomal RNA", at positions 2825 to 2984 of the family's 3401-position model. The record is from RNAcentral. Lineage: Eukaryota; Metazoa; Arthropoda; Insecta; Lepidoptera; Noctuidae.
GGGGAAAAAUUAAUAAAUUAAUAUAAUUAAUAAAAAAAUUUUUAAAAUAUUUAAUGGGGGUUAAAGUAUUUUUAAAGAAAAAAUUAUUUAAUUUAUAGUAAAUUAGUAUUGUAAAAGAAAUUUGAAAUAAAUAAAAAAUUAAUUUAAUUAUAAGUAAUUUUAAUUUAAUGUAUCUUGUGUAUCAGAGUUUAUUAAAAAAAAUUUUUGUAUAAAUAAUUCUCGAAUUUAAAAGAGAUAAUUAAUUAAUAAAGUUAUUGUAGCAUAAAUAUUUUAAAUAAUUAAUUGGAAAUGAAAUGUUAAUCGUUUUUAAAUAUAUCUAGUUUUUUUAGAAAAAAAUUUAAUUUUAAAUUCAUUUUAAAAAUAUUUAAUUAAUUAAAUAUUUUUAAAAUGAAUUUUAUAUUUUAAGGGAUAAGCUUUAAAAUAAAUUAAUAUAAUUAAUUUAAAAAUUAAAAUUGAAAAUUAUAUAAUUUAUAUUGUUAAAAAAAUUUAAUUUAUUAAAAAUAAUUUCAUUAAAAAUAAAAUUUAAAAAAAAUUUAUAUAUUUAUAAAAAAAAAUUAAAAAUUAAAUAAUAAUUAAUAUAAUGAUAAAAUUAGUAUAAAAUAUUAAUAAUAAUUAAAAAAUAUAUUAUUAAAAUUAAUUAAAAGGAAUUCGGCAAAUAUAUAUAUUCACUUGUUUAUCAAAAACAUGUCUUUUUGAAAAUAAUAUAAAGUCUAAUCUGCCCACUGAUUUAUUAUUGAAGGGCUGCAGUAUAUUGACUGUACAAAGGUAGCAUAAUCAUUAGUCAUUUAAUUGAUGACUUGUAUGAAAGAUUGGAUGAAAUAUAAACUGUCUCUUAAUUAAAUUAUAGAAUUUAAUUUUUUAUUUAAAAAGAUAAAAUAAAUUAAAAAGACGAGAAGACCCUAUAGAGUUUUAUAAUUAAUUUAAUUAAAAUUAUUUAUAAAUAAGUUAAUAAAUUAAAAUUAAAUUAAUUAUUUUGUUGGGGUGACAGAAAAAUUAAAAAAACUUUUUUUAUAAGUAAACAAUUAUAAUUGAAUAAAUGAUCCAAUUUUAUUGAUUAUAAGAAAAAAUUACCUUAGGGAUAACAGCGUAAUUUUUUUUUUUAGUUCGAAUAAAAAAAAAAGUUUGCGACCUCGAUGUUGGAUUAAGAUAAAAUUUAAAUGCAGAAGUUUAAAGUUUUUGAUCUGUUCGAUCAUUAAAAUCUUACAUGAUCUGAGUUCAGACCGGUGUGAGCCAGGUUGGUUUCUAUCUUUUAAAAAUUUAAAUAUUUUAGUACGAAAGGAUUAAAUAUUUUAAUUAAAUUUAAUAUUUUGAAUAUCAUUAAAUUAAAAAUAAAUAAAUUAUAAUUAUU